This is a long non-coding RNA of Girardinichthys multiradiatus, 674 nucleotides long. RefSeq lists it as uncharacterized. The record is from RefSeq and is a predicted model, not a curated record. The transcript has 3 exons. Lineage: Eukaryota; Metazoa; Chordata; Actinopteri; Cyprinodontiformes; Goodeidae.
UUGCAUUAUUUAAAACUGUGAAACUGAUUCAUAAAACAACAGUUCAGCAGACAAGGAGUCAACAUCAGCAUUUUAUCGCAUAAUUCAAACAAUCCAAACAAAGAGAGGAAAAAGUGAUGCAGACAGCAAUAUGAUGACUCAGGCACAAAUGGAUACCUGCAAAACUGUGGAUCAACAAUUUGGUGAAGAUGAUCAGAAAGUGAGGGACAGAGAGCUGGAUCGGCUGACCAACUCUAGCAAGACAAUGCAUUGCUGUGACCAGUGUGGGAAACGUUUUAAGAAGUUAGGAAAUUUAAAAUGCCAUCUACACAUCCACACUGGAGAAAAGCCUUUCCUCUGCGAUCAAUGUGGGACGAGUUUCAGGCAAUUAGGAAAUUUGAAGUCUCAUCUACACAUCCAUACUGGAGAAAAGCCUUUCCUCUGCGAUCAGUGUGGGAAGAGUUUUAGUCGUCUAAGUUCUUUGAAAUACCAUCUGGGUUCUAACACAGGAUUAAAAGCCUACAGCUGUGGGAAAUGUGGAAAGAGCUUCAGGCAUUUAAAAUCUUUGCAACGUCAUCUGCGCAUUCACACAAGAGAAGAAACAUCAUAGAAUAAUCUUCUGUUUCUGUGUGGUUCUCAUGGUCAUCUUCUAUUCUAACAUAAACUAAAGAUGUAAUAAAAUUAUUUGCAUGACA